UCUCCGUAGGUGAACCUGCGGAGGGAUCAUUACUGAGUGAGGGCUCACGCCCGACCUCAAACCCUUUGUGAACACAAUCUUGUUGCUUCGGGGGCGCCCCUGCCGGCACUACGUCGCCGGGCGCUCCCGAAGGUCUCCAAACACUGCAUCUUUGCGUCGGAGUUUAAACAAAUUAAACAAAACUUUCAACAACAGAUCUCUUAGUUCUGGCAUCGAUGAAGAACGCAGC
This 229-nucleotide unclassified non-coding RNA is filed under the name uncultured fungus. Its description in RNAcentral is "sequence contains ITS1, 5.8S rRNA gene". The record is from RNAcentral. Lineage: Eukaryota; Fungi.